Myxocyprinus asiaticus (Chinese sucker) is the source of this 1250-nucleotide long non-coding RNA. RefSeq lists it as uncharacterized. The transcript is spliced from 3 exons. The record is from RefSeq and is a predicted model, not a curated record. Lineage: Eukaryota; Metazoa; Chordata; Actinopteri; Cypriniformes; Catostomidae.
UUCCUAUUUGCUGCUCUUGUAUGUAAACAACAAAUCAGCAAGAUUAAAUACCAAAUUGUCUGAGACUGUAGGAAGUGCAUUGGGAAACUGCGUGCUGUGCUGAGUCAUUAGAACCGGUACUAACCGGUGCCACGUGCAUAGUUGGUUCAUUUUAGUAGCAGAGGUUAUUCACUACAAGAUUUGUUACUAUUUGUCAAUCUUUUUCAUCAAAGCAACUGCACAUUUCACUUACUGCGUGAAGGAUUUUGCCCUCUGCCUGGGGGAACAACGGCAACUAGAGAUAUUCCCAUUGCUGUGUGUCUGUGGUGGAGUGGCACUCAUAAUAUUUUACAGGAUCCCUGUUAAAGACUCACAAGGACAAAACAGACGGUGAGCCCAGGCCAGAUGUUUUGUGGCCAAAUUCUCAGGAAAUCCUCUGCUCUGCUGUCAGUGCCGGCACACGGUUCAUUGUACUACGGCUUGUUGGUCAGCAGGUAUAUGGGACCGAAUGUUUGGUAACAUUAGUAUAUAGUCAUUGUACUGUGUAUAAUGUGUUAAAUACCCCUAAUUAUAUUCUGGUGGUACAAGGUGCCCAUAUGCCAGUAUUGUCAUCCCAGGAGACAGUGCCAUUUGUGGGCUGAAGAUAAUUUUUCCAAGUCAUAAGCAGCUACCAGUCACUCCUCAGGGUCCCUUUUUACCUAGACUAAAGUGAAUGCUCAUCUGCAGAAGUGGGGCAUGCUACAGUGUGACAGCAGAAUGUGGAGGAGACACACGCAUUGUUGCACUUAUUCAAAGGUGCGGAUACAGUAUAUUAUACAGUUGAGUGCAGUGCAUCCACCUUUUGUCUCAUUAGUUUACACACCCCUUUCAGAAAUUAAACAAAUAUAAGAAAUAAGAUCAUAUAUUAUUUAUUUCGUAAUGCCCCUCAGAAACUACAUAAUAGAUAUUUACAUUUAUGCCACAAGGCAAAAUAUUAACAGUCUACACAAAACAUCCUGUUCAAAAGUUUACAUCCCCGUGGUUCUUAUAUAGUGUGUUGCCUUCUUGAGCAACAAUGAGUGCUGCAAAUUUUGUAAUAGUUGUAAAAGUCCCUUAAUUGUCCUGUCAAAAUCUGUAUCUGGAUGUCAAGACCCUAUAGCCAAUGUUGGGAAGGAGUCAAAUGUGCAGAAGAUCCUGGGAAACCGAAGUGAGUGCAGUACCUAGAGGAUUUUCUUAGGAACAGUGGACAGCUUCAAUGCUCAGGACAAAGCAGGGACUCAUUCACAACAAGA